GAUGAACGCUGGCGGCGUGCCUAAUACAUGCAAGUCGAGCGAACGGACGAGAAGCUUGCUUCUCUGAUGUUAGCGGCGGACGGGUGAGUAACACGUGGAUAACCUACCUAUAAGACUGGGAUAACUUCGGGAAACCGUAGCUAAUACCGGAUAAUAUUUUGAACCGCAUGGUUCAAAAGUGAAAGACGGUCUUGCUGUCACUUAUAGAUGGAUCCGCGCUGCAUUAGCUAGUUGGUAAGGUAACGGCUUACCAAGGCAACGAUGCAUAGCCGACCUGAGAGGGUGAUCGGCCACACUGGAACUGAGACACGGUCCAGACUCCUACGGGAGGCAGCAGUAGGGAAUCUUCCGCAAUGGGCGAAAGCCUGACGGAGCAACGCCGCGUGAGUGAUGAAGGUCUUCGGAUCGUAAAACUCUGUUAUUAGGGAAGAACAUAUGUGUAAGUAACUGUGCACACCUUGACGGUACCUAAUUAGAAAGCCACGGCUAACUACGUG
This 497-nucleotide ribosomal RNA is filed under the name uncultured bacterium. Its description in RNAcentral is "partial 16S ribosomal RNA". It matches the Rfam family "Bacterial small subunit ribosomal RNA", at positions 28 to 507 of the family's 1533-position model. The record is from RNAcentral.